UUUUUUUUGUUUUGUUUUUUUUUGUGCUUUUUUUUUUUUUUUUUUAAAUAAGAGAUGGGCCUUAAUUGCAAUGGUCCUUUCCACAAUACUUCCCCAACUUCCUGCACAAGCCUGCACGUGCCUCUCUCAAAAUCUGAUGAUGCCAUUCAGACUCAGGGGGUGCCAGGAGCUCUCUGUUUUCGGGGAACAGGGCUGACCUGAGUCACCUGCGUCGUGGAGAAGACAGCCGGGGUGCAAAGCAGAGUACUGAGGAGACCCAAAUGUGGCAGUCACAGCACAGCCCUGGUGACACUGCCAGGUCUUUUUGUGUGAGUGCCUGAGUUUGCUGAAUUUGCUGUGUGGCCUGUCAAGAGACAAAACAGGUGAGGAAGAUAUUAACAGAAUUAAUGGCUUUUAAUGAGGCUGUGGGCAGCGCAGCUCCCUUUGCCUCCAAGGCUGAGCAGCAGGGCCUAACUGAUCUUACCCUAGCACUGGCCACCAAAAAGCCAGUUGGUCUACACUGAAAAAUUUGGAGCCAGGCAGUUUUAACACUUGAUUUGUUGCUACAGAUAUACUCAUGCUGAUCACUUAAAUAGAAACUUAAUUGUCUCAGCAAUAUGGGAAGCAGGCAGGAUGAGGGAACUUGCUCUUAUGGGAGAGUGCUGAGGGACUGGGCAGGUUCAAGAGCUGUCAGGGUGGGGUAGCAAAGGAUCAGGGCACAGAAAUGGGAACCUUUAACUCAGAUAUGGGAACUGCUGAAGGAGCGCAGAGCAGCUGACCAGCCCUGACAGGGGCAGAGGGAAAACUGUCCACAUCAGAGGGCUGUGCAGAAUUUUCUUUCACAAAACUAGCUAAACCAAUAUUAGACUGGACUGUUUUGGAGAUGGAGCAGUCUGUGUAAAAAGGUAGUAUUUAUCUAUUUAUUUUUCCUAGCAUACUAAUUAGUUGAUAUUUUUCUAUUUAAAAUGUUAGCUGACUCACUUUAUAUUAUAAUAAAGCCUAUUUAGUUUAAGGAGCUGUUUGUUUGUUUUUUAAAGCUUUCAAGCCCCUCACUUGCCUUUGAGGAGACCUAUAAGAAAAUGGAAUACAGAGGACACUUGAACACUGUGGGAAGCCUGCAGUGUCAUCACCCUGCUGUGAUCAACUGUUCCCUAGCCCCAGCAAUAGUAACUUGAGCCUGGUUGAAGACCAAAUUGUUAUAACACAGGUUAUUUGUCUCCUUGGUUGCUCUGCAACCAACAACAGCAGGCUUCCUGUUGUUAGAUCACUCUGACACUCUGCAACGGAAUGUGGAGGCAUUGAACCUUGUGACGGAGGAAUUUGCAGCCUGCUUGAGUAGCCAGGAGAGUUUUCAGAAUCUGACAGAAACUCUCAUUAACCUCCCAUUAUCAUUGCUCAGAAUACAUGGGGAAAGUGGUGUUUAUCUGCAUAGCCACACAACAUAUUUGUCUUUUAAGAGACACCAUGACCACUCUGCAUGCUUGGCUGCAGUGGGUUAGCAGCACUUACUAUCUGCUAGUGCCCACGAAUCCAAAGUGAAAUGGGAGCCCCUUGAUGGGGCUGUUGACACAGCAGAAAUCUCUAUUCCAAACUGUCCUGAUCUCAGCAGCCAGAAGAGACUGGUCUGGUUUUGAAGGUCAAGCCCUGCCCUGGACCAGGGCUGCAGAGCUGGCCUCUGCUCCACACUGGCACCUCUGGGCAGGCAGGAGGAAUGUGCCUGCUUGCCAAUGAUUGCUGUUGAUUAGCAGCUGCCUCUUCUCAGGGAAAAGCAACGAGCCUGGUGGUGUCCCAUAGGACAAUCUGAUGUUUGGGAUGAGCCAGCAUUAAGUUGUGCCUGUCUUAUUAUUGGAGACAGAAAAAGGGAGCUGUAUUGCCCUCAUCAGGGGUUACAACAGAGAAAGCCCAAACAGCUGGUUCUAUAUCAAUUUGGCCCUGAGUGCCAUAGCUGGGAAUGUAAGUUGUUUUCAAGAAGUAUUUCCUUUGUAUUGAUAAAUAAUUGUGUUCUACAGAGAUCUUAAACUGCUAAAUCAGGUAGAAAACAGUGUUCAUAGCAUAAGGGAUGUUGACCACGAGUGUUAUGCAUGGUUUUUUGACAUGAAAGUUACUGUGUCACACAUCAGGAAAGUAGAGGAAAGGAUAAUUUUGUUGAAAUGCAGGCAAUUUAUUUCAAGUGUAUCCAAGAGUUGGCUGAGAGCCCAAUUUGAGCUACUGCUGUUCAGUUUGCUCUGUUAAUCCAGCCCAUGGAAGCCCAGUGCUACUGUGCCCUUCUACCCAGCAGUACACAAAAACAUCUCUUACUGUGAACUAUAUACCCUGAACUUCUUCAUAAGUAACGUUACAAUCACACAGGAUAUGUUUUAGAAAAUAGUGACCCUGUUCUGAAAAAGUCAGAAUAAAAUACAAAUUUUUUGUGGUAUUUUUAAGUAUAGUUCCACUAUUGGAUGAAUUUCAUUUUACUUUGGAGGAGAGGGGUGGUGAGGAAGAGAGCAUAUACUGGGAUUUGAUUUGGAAGAACCAUGAAGAUGGGAAGUUUGCCAGGAUACCUGAAACUCAUUCCUACCUUUUAAACCUGUAAAUCUUUUACAGAGCUAUGUAUAUGUAAAUUGGCUGAUUGUUAAUCUUUGCAAAGAGGUAAUUAAGAGGUAGUGACCUGAAGCUAGGUUAGAGGGGACAGUGUUUGAUGUCACUCCAUAACUAAUUCCAGUGAGGAAUUCCACAUUUCCAUACUUCACAUAUUUGUGGUGUUAUAUCUCUCUCUUUCUUGUCUUUCAUGUUUUUCUGGGACUUUGAAAUAUACAGCUAAUGAAGACUUUUUGAUAAUUAAAAAAAAAUACUGUUAGUUUGUAAGACAUAAAAGAUAUUUCAGGUUUUUUGACCCAUAAAGUAUGCUUUUGCCACUUUCUUCCUGUUUCACACCCACUGGAUCUGGUGAUUUGACUUCCCAGACGUAAGCAGAUCCUUCAGGCAAGUGGGUCAGUAGGGCUGGCAAAGGUUGUAUGUUUCCAGGCCACAGGAGCUGUUAAUAUAUAAACUUAUUUUGUUUUUUUAUCAGAUUGAAACUAGAUUAAAAGAAAAAAAAACAAAACAAAAGCCUCUUCCAUGUUAGAAAAUUAAGAGAGGCAGAACACUUAUUUUUAAGUCAUGAGGUGUUUCCAAAAUUAAAUUGUUCAGCUGAUAUUGGCUUUGGGAGCAUCUGCUGGCCACUUGAACAUAUUUCUAUGCAUUGCUCUUAGUGAUAUGAAAUAAUCUAUUUCUAUCAUUUGUUCCUGCUUCAUAUCUGCCACACAGAGC
Taeniopygia guttata (zebra finch) is the source of this 3270-nucleotide long non-coding RNA. NCBI's taxonomy places the organism in Eukaryota, Metazoa, Chordata, Aves, Passeriformes, Estrildidae. The record is from Ensembl.